UUUCACAUCCAAACAAAAGUGCCACACCCAUUUUUUUCUAUGUGGUUCUUAUUAGUGCGAUGUGUUUGUUGAGAGUAUUAAGUUGAAGUUUACAUUAAAUAAUUUUUUGUAAUAGAAAAAUAAGAAGUUUUUAUAUUAUUGUUGUGGCUUACGCACGACACAAUUGCUUGUAUAUCCAUUCUAAGUGGGAAGUUCUGAGCGAAAGAUUUAUUAUUAUAGUAGCGACAGCUGGCCAGUCCGGGCACCAUCAAAUUUGAUAAGAUUUUAGACCUAGAUCUUUCAAGUACUGGACACAUUAUAGUAUAAAUUAGCAAUGCAAAAUACAAAGAAAAUUCCGGAAUUCAGUCGAUGUGAAUCAACUAAAUACGAGUAUAAGAAAUCGUCGUAUGCGGAGAUUUAUGAUGUGCUACAAUCCUUAAGGAAAGAUGAGAUUCUUUGUGAUAUUAAAAUAGAAAUAGACGAUGGUGGAGUUAUAUUCGGCCAUAAAGUGGUUCUAGCAUCGGCUAGUCCAUAUUUCCACGCAAUGUUCACAAACUUUUCAGAAAAGAACCAAGAUCUUGUUCUUAUCAAGGAGUUGGACUCUAGUGCAUUACGGCUUUUAAUAGACUUUGUCUAUUCUGGUGAAAUCUCCAUCACUGAAAAAAAUGUACAGUGUUUGUUGCCAGCAUCGAAUCUUUUGCAGUUACAAGAAGUCAAAAAUGCAUGUUUUGAUUUUCUACAGGCACAACUAUGGCCUACAAAUGUUAUUGGGAUAAAUGCGUUGGCUGAUUUACAUGGCUCUAUGCAAUUGUUAACAAGUUCAGAAUUAUAUAUUCAACAACUUUUUUCUGAUGUCGUAGAAGGAGAUGAAUUUCUGUCCUUUUCAUCGGAACUAAUGGUUAAGUUGAUCUCUAGUGAUGAACUUACCGCUCCAUCUGAAGAAAAAGUAUGCAAUGUAUUUGAAAUUGUUAUUCGAUGGGUAAAACAUGAUUUGGAUUCCAGAAAACAAAUUUUGCCCCAAUUAAUGGAACAUGUGCGUUUACCAUUAAUAUCGAAAGAUUACAUAUUAAAAAAUAUAGUUGAUGAACCUCUUCUUAUUAAUUGUUCUAAAUGUAAAGAUUACGUAUUUGAAGCAUUACGUUUUCAUUUAAUUAAGCCAGACAAACUUAUCACAAUUCCUCAUAACAUCCGGACAAAAGCUAGACAGUCUGGUGGUACACAUAAAGUAAUUUUUGCUGUUGGUGGAUUGGGUUAUGACCAUAUAUUAAAUACUACAGAAUGGUAUGACCCAAAAAUCAACCAAUGGCAGCCUGGACCAAAAAUGUUUUUACCACUUGAGGCACCAGGUCUAGCUGUAGCUAAUGAUAAUUGUGUGUUUCUAAUGGGUGGAAAUUCUGGACAAAAUUCGGAAACUUCAAAAUUGGUUCAUUGGCUAGAUUUGUCUUCAGAAUCACCUCAUUGGAGACCAACCAACAACAUGUUAGUCAAACGACAGGAUUUUGGAGUUGGUGUGAUCGAUAAUCAUAUAUAUGCCAUUGGCGGAGCAGAUCAUGAUCGAAAUUAUUUGAAUAGUGCAGAAGCUUUCGACUGCAGAACUCAAAAAUGGCAAAUGUUAGCUAGUAUGUCUACUAGAAGAUUUGCUGUUGGAAUUGGAGUACUGAAUAAUCUUUUAUAUGCGGUAGGAGGAUCUGAUUCAAAGAAUAAAUUAAGCUCCGUAGAAUGCUAUCAUCCCGGUCUUGAUAAAUGGACUACAAUUGCAGACAUGUGUAAGUGUUGAAGCAUACCAACCAAGUAUAGGAGUUUGGACUACUAUUCCGGAAAUGCAUUUGUGUCGAUGUGAUCCAGGAGUAGCGGUAUUAGAUG
This 1842-nucleotide unclassified non-coding RNA is filed under the name Acyrthosiphon pisum (pea aphid). RNAcentral describes it as "kelch-like protein 2, transcript variant X5". Lineage: Eukaryota; Metazoa; Arthropoda; Insecta; Hemiptera; Aphididae. The record is from RNAcentral.